UACGUAGGGGGCAAGCGUUGUCCGGAAUCAUUGGGCGGAAAGCGCGCGUAGGCGGCCCGGUAAGUCCGUUGUGAAAGUCAAAGGCUCAACCUUUGAACGCCGAUGGAUACUGCCGGGCUAGAGUCCGGAAGAGGCGAGUGGAAUUCCUGGUGUAGCGGUGGAAUGCGCAGAUAUCAGGAGGAACACCAAUAGCGAAGGCAGCUCGCUGGGACGGUACUGACGCUGAGGCGCGAAAGCGUGGGGAGCGAACAGG
This 253-nucleotide ribosomal RNA is filed under the name uncultured bacterium. RNAcentral's name for it is "partial 16S ribosomal RNA". It matches the Rfam family "Bacterial small subunit ribosomal RNA", at positions 524 to 776 of the family's 1533-position model. The record is from RNAcentral.